RNAcentral lists this ribosomal RNA (520 nucleotides) under uncultured Glomus. Its description in RNAcentral is "SSU rRNA". It matches the Rfam family "Eukaryotic small subunit ribosomal RNA", at positions 569 to 1090 of the family's 1831-position model. The record is from RNAcentral. Lineage: Eukaryota; Fungi; Glomeromycota; Glomeromycetes; Glomerales; Glomeraceae.
AGCAGCCGCGGUAAUUCCAGCUCCAAUAGCGUAUAUUAAAGUUGCUGCAGUUAAAAAGCUCGUAGUUGAAUUUCGGGACCAUCAUGUCGGUCGUGCCUCGGUACGUACUGGCGUUGUUGGUUUCCCCCUUCUGAAGAACCUCGAUGCCAUUAAUUUGGUGUCGUGGGGAAUCAGGACUGUUACUUUGAAAAAUUAGAGUGUUUAAAGCAAGCAUACGCUUGAAUACAUUAGCAUGGAAUAAUGAAAUAGGACGUUUGAUUCUAUUUUGUUGGUUUCUAGGAUCGACGUAAUGAUUAAUAGGGAUAGUUGGGGGCAUUAGUAUUCAAUUGUCAGAGGUGAAAUUCUUGGAUUUAUUGAAGACUAACUACUGCGAAAGCAUUUGCCAAGGAUGUUUUCAUUAAUCAAGAACGAAAGUUAGGGGAUCGAAGACGAUCAGAUACCGUCGUAGUCUUAACCAUAAACCUAUGCCGACUAGGGAUCGGAUGAUGUUAAUUUUUAAUGUACUUCAUUCGGCGCCUUA